Molecule: long non-coding RNA, 1340 nt
Organism: Pipistrellus kuhlii (Kuhl's pipistrelle)
Lineage: Eukaryota; Metazoa; Chordata; Mammalia; Chiroptera; Vespertilionidae
Exons: 4
Source: RefSeq, a predicted model, not a curated record
GGAAGAGGGAAAAUGAAGCACCAGAGUGGUUUCAGCACUUCGUCGGGCAUCCUUUAGCACAGCUUUCCAGCAGUUGUGUGGUGUUUUCUCUUCCCGAGCAUGUGGCACCCAGGCACUUUUCAUAGAGAUUCUGGCAUCCGCAUCUGAAUCUACUUGUGCAUCCCCCCCACCCCCCAGGGUGUGAAGGAUCUUAUUUAGAAGUAAAUGCAGGAGAAGAAAAACUUAAAUUCAAAAGGAAUGAAACAAGGAAGCCAUUUGAACACAAACAGAUCUCUGAAGAAACUGGUCGUGGAGUGUUCUUGCCUGAGGCUGCAUGGCGAAAUUUCAGUGAAGAGAUCAACCAACUCUCCUUGGCAUGUUUUCAUCCCAGGAACUGCCCCUCCAAAGCAGAGAGUAUCAGGAAGACCACCGUGUUGGGAGCUGGGAGAAGACAGGCCUCCUCCACCGCUGCUGCCCCGCUCUGUCCUGCUCUGCGGGUGACUCCGUGGGGCUGGUCAGCCACGGGCUGGCUGCAGCCUCAGGCAGCUCACCCAGCCUCUCCAGCCCCCCUCUGGCCGGAUUGCCUUCACCUGCACCCACAGUGCUAGCCUCCACAACUGCCGGGAGGAGUACAUAAAACAACAAGGUGGCAACAUUUUGUAAGCUGUCAGCCAGUGCUUUUUACAAGAGACACUGUCCCAUACAUGCUACGUAUUGUUGUUUUUUUGUUUUGUUUUUUUAAAUCCAUGAUUGUAAAAUGCCACACCUCAGAAACGCACAGUGUGCUUUGGCAUACUGAAGAAUCUGAGAGGUGAACUCUUUGGAAACUUGUUUAAUGCAGUGUUGCACAGACUAUUUGGUCUCGGAAUCCCGUUUUCAUUUACGGUCGUGUGCCACAUAACAGUGGGAUACAUUCUGAGAAAUGUGUCGCUAGGCGCUGAUUCUGUCACUGUGUGAACAUCAUAAAGGGCUUAGGUAAACCGAGAUGGCGGAGCCCUCCCCUGUCGGCGUUUGUGCUGUGCUGCCACUGGGCCGGUGUGCACCAGCAGGACCACAAAGGAGCGACUGCAGUGCCAGCCCUGACACGUGGCUUCCUUUGGGUCAUGAGGGUGCCUGACGUCAGCUUUGACCAGGGAGCCAUCCACUGCGGGAAGAAACACCCUGCAGGCCAACAGGGCCGCCUCCCAGCCCUGAGGCUGCCUUGCUGCUGAAACCUUGAUUUCCAUCACUGACCAUUUGGGCUACUUGUUUUUUUCUCUCCUUGCGCUUUAAAUUCCUGCUCUUGUGUGUUAAACUCUCCAAUAAAGAGUGAGCCUGUGACACUCUAAGCCCCGCCCACCCUUGAACCCAAUAAAAGCCGA